AUGAAGUUGCAGAGGAGGCGGCCAACAUGAAGUUGCAAAGGAGGCGGCCAAACACACGAUUGGAACCAGGAUGCGAAAACAGAAACGAUUUGAGGGAACAACGACGGUGAGGACGGUGACGACAACCUCGGCGACGGUGAGGACGGUGACAGCAAACUCGACGACGGUGAGGAGGGUGACGGCAACCUCAGCGAUGGUGGCAGCACCGACAACGACAUUGUCCAAGGGGAACAGAUGUACCAAUAAGCAUGGCUUGUGCAUCAAUGGCAGUCAUCAUCAACAUGGCAGGGUUUGGCAGUGAA
Cicer arietinum (chickpea) is the source of this 302-nucleotide long non-coding RNA. RefSeq lists it as uncharacterized. Lineage: Eukaryota; Viridiplantae; Streptophyta; Magnoliopsida; Fabales; Fabaceae. The record is from RefSeq and is a predicted model, not a curated record.